RNAcentral lists this ribosomal RNA (492 nucleotides) under Desulfobulbus sp. oral taxon 041. RNAcentral describes it as "bacterial SSU rRNA". It matches the Rfam family "Bacterial small subunit ribosomal RNA", at positions 29 to 500 of the family's 1533-position model. Lineage: Bacteria; Pseudomonadati; Thermodesulfobacteriota; Desulfobulbia; Desulfobulbales; Desulfobulbaceae. The record is from RNAcentral.
AACGAACGCUGGCGGCGUGCUUAACACAUGCAAGUCGAACGCGAACGGGACUUCGGUUCCUAGUAGAGUGGCGCACGGGUGAGUAACGCGUAGAUAACCUGUCUUCAUAUCCGGAAUAACACGCCGAAAGGGGUACUAAUACCGGAUAUCCUUGCAUUUCACAGGUAAGGCAAGGAAAGGUGGCCUCUGAUUCAAGCUACUGUAUGAAGAGGGGUCUGCGUACCAUUAGCUAGUAGGUGGGGUAAUGGCCUACCUAGGCGACGAUGGUUAGCGGGUCUGAGAGGAUGAUCCGCCACACUGGCACUGGAAUACGGGCCAGACUCCUACGGGAGGCAGCAGUGAGGAAUAUUGCGCAAUGGGGGCAACCCUGACGCAGCGACGCCGCGUGAGUGAGGAAGGUCUUCGGAUCGUAAAGCUCUGUCAAGAGGGAAGAAGUGCAAGGCAGCGAAUAACUGUUUUGUUUGACGGUACCUCUAAAGGAAGCACCGCUAA